RNAcentral lists this ribosomal RNA (484 nucleotides) under uncultured bacterium. RNAcentral describes it as "partial 16S ribosomal RNA". It matches the Rfam family "Bacterial small subunit ribosomal RNA", at positions 30 to 507 of the family's 1533-position model. The record is from RNAcentral.
AUUGAACGCUGGCGGCAGGCCUAACACAUGCAAGUCGAGCGGAUGAAGGGAGCUUGCUCCUGGCUUCAGCGGCGGACGGGUGAGUAAUGCCUAGGAAUCUGCCUGGUAGUGGGGGAUAACGUCCGGAAACGGGCGCUAAUACCGCAUACGUCCUGAGGGAGAAAGUGGGGGAUCUUCGGACCUCACGCUAUCAGAUGAGCCUAGGUCGGAUUAGCUAGUUGGUGGGGUAAAGGCCUACCAAGGCGACGAUCCGUAACUGGUCUGAGAGGAUGAUCAGUCACACUGGAACUGAGACACGGUCCAGACUCCUACGGGAGGCAGCAGUGGGGAAUAUUGGACAAUGGGCGAAAGCCUGAUCCAGCCAUGCCGCGUGUGUGAAGAAGGUCUUCGGAUUGUAAAGCACUUUAAGUUGGGAGGAAGGGCAGUAAGUUAAUACCUUGCUGUUUUGACGGUACCAACAGAAUAAGCACCGGCUAACUUCGUG